Molecule: long non-coding RNA, 515 nt
Organism: Engraulis encrasicolus (European anchovy)
Lineage: Eukaryota; Metazoa; Chordata; Actinopteri; Clupeiformes; Engraulidae
Exons: 3
Source: RefSeq, a predicted model, not a curated record
CACCAGCAAGAGAUCAUCAGCGACAUGCCCAUGGCCACCGACUUCAGGUCCUGCUGGCCAGAAAUAUUGGAUAUUGGAGAGAUCCAUGCAGAGUUGACGCGUUACCACUAUGCCACUGCAGUUAAAGUUUCUUUCCCAGCUGGACCUUCACUGUGAUGACCUGGUGAAAAUCUUCCAGAAGAGGGGAGGGCAAACCGCAAGAAAACUGCAGUCAGUGGAUUUCACUGCAGCUCAGGUGCAGCUCAGCAAACGGCCAUGGGGAUAAAGCUCUAUGACGAUGGACAAUAUGGACGUUCACAUUGUGUGAGAAGGUGUUGGAAGUUCUUGGUGAUCUUGCCUGUGGCUCUGGCUGUAGUGAGGCUUUUUGUUUUGGAAUUAUCUCGCCCAGAAAAAUCUGUGUUUGAAAGAAGUCUGUAGUGAGGCCUCACACACACUUUACUUUAGUGUGACCUUUACCAUCUAGUAACUUGGCCUGCUUCUUGGAGAUCUUGACUGUGUGGCUCUGGCUUUAGUGA